UCUGACGACCAUAGCUUUGUGGUACCACCCCUUCCCAUCCCGAACAGGACCGUGAAACACAAACGCGCCGAUGAUAGUGAG
This 81-nucleotide ribosomal RNA is filed under the name Thauera propionica. The record is from RNAcentral. Lineage: Bacteria; Pseudomonadati; Pseudomonadota; Betaproteobacteria; Rhodocyclales; Zoogloeaceae.